CCUACGGGAGGCAGCAGUGAGGAAUAUUGGUCAAUGGGCGGGAGCCUGAACCAGCCAAGCCGCGUGAAGGAAGAAGGCGCCAAGCGUCGUAAACUUCUUUUAUCGGGGAACAAAGGGCGCCACGUGUGGCGUUGUGAGUGUACCCGAAGAAAAAGCAUCGGCUAACUCAGUGCCAGCAGCCGCGGUAAUACGGAGGAUGCGAGCGUUAUCCGGAGUUAUUGGGUUUAAAGGGUGCGUAGGCGGUCCGGAAAGUCAGCGGGAAAAGCCCGGGGCACAACCCCGGAGAGCCGUUGAAACUGGCGGACUAGAGACGGCGAGAAGUACGCGGAAUGCGCGGUGUAGCGGUGAAAUGCAUAGAUAUCGCGCAGAACUCCGAUUGCGAAGGCAGCGUACCGGCGCCGGACUGACGCUGAGGCACGAAAGCGUGGGUAUCGAACAGGAUUAGAUACCCCAGUAGUC
Molecule: ribosomal RNA, 459 nt
Filed under: uncultured bacterium
Lineage: Bacteria
Description: partial 16S ribosomal RNA
Rfam family: Bacterial small subunit ribosomal RNA
Source: RNAcentral